This 76-nucleotide transfer RNA is filed under the name Deltaproteobacteria bacterium. RNAcentral's name for it is "tRNA-His". It matches the Rfam family "tRNA". From Rfam's summary of the family: Transfer RNA (tRNA) molecules are approximately 80 nucleotides in length. Their secondary structure includes four short double-helical elements and three loops (D, anti-codon, and T loops). Further hydrogen bonds mediate the characteristic L-shaped molecular structure. tRNAs have two regions of fundamental functional importance: the anti-codon, which is responsible for specific mRNA codon recognition, and the 3' end, to which the tRNAs corresponding amino acid is attached (by aminoacyl-tRNA synthetases). tRNAs cope with the degeneracy of the genetic code in two manners: having more than one tRNA (with a specific anti-codon) for a particular amino acid; and 'wobble' base-pairing, i.e. permitting non-standard base-pairing at the 3rd anti-codon position. Lineage: Bacteria; Pseudomonadati; Myxococcota; Myxococcia. RNAcentral also lists the same sequence under 1 other name. The record is from RNAcentral.
GUGGGUGUAGCUCAGUCGGUAGAGCACCGGGUUGUGGCCCCGGUUGUCGAGGGUUCAAGUCCCUUCACUCACCCCA